CACGUAGGGUGCGAGCGUUGUCCGGAAUUAUUGGGCGUAAAGGGCUCGUAGGCGGUUUGUCGCGUCGGGAGUGAAAUCCACUGGCUUAACUGGUGGCUUGCUUUCGAUACGGGCAGACUGGAGGUAUGCAGGGGAGAACGGAAUUCCUGGUGUAGCGGUGAAAUGCGCAGAUAUCAGGAGGAACACCGGUGGCGAAGGCGGAUCUCUGGGCCAUUACUGACGCUGAGGAGCGAAAGCGUGGGGAGCGAACAGG
RNAcentral lists this ribosomal RNA (253 nucleotides) under uncultured bacterium. Its description in RNAcentral is "partial 16S ribosomal RNA". It matches the Rfam family "Bacterial small subunit ribosomal RNA", at positions 524 to 776 of the family's 1533-position model. The record is from RNAcentral.